AGUCCCAGGGUGAAGGGAGGCAGCUUCAGUCCUGGGGCCAAUAGCACAUCCGAGGAAAUCAGGGCCCCUGGAACACAGCCUGCGGGACUGGGGGCACAUCUGCUGCCCAAUCCAGAGCUUGAAUGCUCCUGGUGAGAAAGGAUAACAAACAGCACUUCCCCAUGGCAGAUGCUUCACAGUCCAAGACUCGGGGCCUUGAAUGAUCCAGGAAGGCCACUGAGAUUUCCACUUUAUCUACUGUUUCUUGUGCACGUACUUAACCAUAAAUCAAAACAGCCUCUGUGUUAUCAUCCUUCAAUGUUCAACACAUCGCAUCGGAGUCGCCCUUUCCCUACAGAAUAUAAGCUCUGGGUCUGGGGGCUAAUAGUGUGGGGAUCCACCAUCUUGUCUUGCCCCCACCUGAGACACAGAUGUGGCUUCUAUUCGUAUGUCCCUAUUAAAUGCUUUUCUCUGAGAA
This 457-nucleotide long non-coding RNA is filed under the name Homo sapiens (human). RNAcentral's name for it is "non-protein coding lnc-ESRP2-4:7". The record is from RNAcentral. Lineage: Eukaryota; Metazoa; Chordata; Mammalia; Primates; Hominidae.